GACGAACGCUGGCGGCGUGCCUAAUACAUGCAAGUUGAGCGCUGAAGGUUGGUACUUGUACCAACUGGAUGAGCAGCGAACGGGUGAGUAACGCGUGGGGAAUCUGCCUUUGAGCGGGGGACAACAUUUGGAAACGAAUGCUAAUACCGCAUAAAAACUUUAAACACAAGUUUUAAGUUUGAAAGAUGCAAUUGCAUCACUCAAAGAUGAUCCCGCGUUGUAUUAGCUAGUUGGUGAGGUAAAGGCUCACCAAGGCGAUGAUACAUAGCCGACCUGGGAGGGUGGUCGGCCCCCUUUGGACUUGGACACGGCCCCAACCCCCUCGGGGGGCCGCAGUAGGGAAUCUUCGGCAAUGGACGAAAGUCUGACCGCGCAACGCCGCGUGAGUGGAGAAGGUUUUCGGAUCGUAAAACUCUGUUGGUAGAGAAGAACGUUGGUGAGAGUGGAAAGCUCAUCAAGUGACGGUAACUACCCAGAAAGGGCCGGCUAACUACGUG
This 497-nucleotide ribosomal RNA is filed under the name uncultured bacterium. RNAcentral's name for it is "partial 16S ribosomal RNA". It matches the Rfam family "Bacterial small subunit ribosomal RNA", at positions 28 to 507 of the family's 1533-position model. The record is from RNAcentral.